This 2805-nucleotide long non-coding RNA is filed under the name Lactuca sativa (garden lettuce). Its description in RNAcentral is "long non-coding RNA (LSAT_LNC004129)". The record is from RNAcentral. Lineage: Eukaryota; Viridiplantae; Streptophyta; Magnoliopsida; Asterales; Asteraceae.
AAAACAACAUUUAUAUUCCAUCAUUAAGGUUUGAAUACAAGGUUCUUACAAGUGAUAAUAGAUAGUAGUUGCCUUAAACAAGUAGGCAAAUACAAAAACUAGAUAGCUAAGUCGUCUGAAAUCCACGACAAAUCUUCCGUCUGAAAGCUUGUCUAAGGAUCCCCUGAGAAUACAUGUACGUUUGAAAGUCAACACAAAGGUUGGUGAGUGUCACAGGUUUUCUGCUAACACAGUAAUACUUUUAUUAAGUCUAAAAAGUAUUAUCUUUGUAUGUAUAACAACAGUUAAAACAGUGUUUGCAAUGAGUCUUCAAAAGCCAAAAUGUAUAGUUUGUAUAAGUAAACCCAUACGUAAAACUGUGUUUGUAAUGAAUCUUUGAAAGCCAAAAUGUUAUGUUCCAUAAGUAACCACAUACUUAAAACUGUGUUUGAAAGCAACCAAAUCCAUGGUUGUAAGGAUAACGAAUAAAGUUUUCUGCCAAGGUUGUACUUAACAACCACAGAUACGGAUAAACAAGCAUACGGAUAUGCGGAUACAGUUAUCUGCUAAGGUUGAACUCAACAACCACAGAUACUGAUAAACAACAAGUAUAUUUGAUAAGUAUACACGUAAAUUGUACGAUACUUGUUUAAACAGUCGACAAAACCUAGUAUAGUGUACACAAGCACAUGUAUGAGCCUAAGAUACAAGUUCUAUAAAUUGUAUAAAUGUAUAAACCUAUAUAUUUACGUCAUAAAUAGACAUACGGAUAUACAGAUAAAGUUAUCUGCCAAGGUUGAACUUAACAACCGCAGAUACGGAUAAACAUGUAAUUUAUAAGUAUAUUUGAUAAUCGUAGACAUUGAAGAGUACGAUACUUUUUUAAACUUUGAGUACAAGCACAUAAUUGAGUCUAAGAUACGAGCUCNNNNNNNNNNNNNNNNNNNNNNNNNNNNNNNNNNNNNNNNNNNNNNUGGGGCCAUAACACUCACCUUAAAGUGUGGUUGGCGACUAUUUGAUGCGAGAAAAAAGGACCUAGAGUUGUUGCCGUGAACACGAAUCGUCGAGAUUUAUUUAGUUUCCUAGGAAAUAUUAAUAUAAAUUAAUUUGAUUGGUAACUUAACCAAAACAUAGGGUCCAGUUACUAAUUAAAGUAAAUGAGACCAAGUUGGUUAAUAAUUUUUAAAUAAGAAUUAAAAUAUUAUAUUUAAAUUUUAAGUUUUGAUAUUCAGAUUUAUUUUGAAAAUAAAUCACAGGAAAUGGUUCAAUGUAAAUAAAUAAAAAAAUUAGUUUAUGUUUUAGGACUAGUUUUAAAACUGAUUUCUAGGAGAGGGGUAAGUUGUGUACAUUUAAAUUCAAGUUCCAAUGCCUUAGGACUACUUUUGAAAGGAUAUUUGGUUUGGGGGUUAAAAUAAUUAAUUCGGUAACAAUGUUUGAUUUAAAAAAGUUUGGUUUAACAUACCUCAUGUUAGUCGCAACUAUUCAUCACCAAAAUAAUGAUCAAUAGAGAUGGCAACGGGGGCGGGGAACACAGGGGACCCCAAUCCCCAUCCCCAUCCCCGAAUUCUCAUUUCAAUCCCCAUCCUCAUCCCCAUCCCCAUUGGGGAAUAUAAAUAAACCCCCAUCCCCACCCCCAACGGGGACUGGGGAUCUCCAAUGGGGAAACGGAGAUUUCUUUAUCUCUUUUAACAUGCAAACUUUUACGUAAGAAAAAACUCUAAAUUUCAAUUUUACCAGCAUAAGUUUAAAGAUUUUAUAAAAUAUAUAAGUACCCAUAAAUUGCAGAAAAAAUAUAAAUAAAUUUUCUACCAAAUUUAAAUACAUACAUCAAAAAUCAAGUAAAAAAAAUUAUCAGAUUGAUAUUUAAGGUAAAAUAGAUCAACCAAAGAGAAAAAUAUAUAUAUACACGAGUUUAAAUUAGAUAAAAGAAAAAGCAAAAAGUAUAAUUUCAACCAAGUAAUUACUAAUGAGUUAGGUUACUUAGAUCAAAUUUUAUGUAUUAUAAAUUAUACUAUAAAUAUACGUUCUGUAUUAUUUUUAUAUAUUAAUAUAUGUCGGGGGCGGGUACAGGGUUGGGGAUUAAGGGUAUCCCCAUCCCCAUCCCCAUCCCCAUCCCCAUCCCAACUUUUUUUAUUCGGGUAUUCCCAUCCCCGUCCCCAUCCCUGGUCAACCUGGGGAUUCCCCAGUCAAAACGGGUGCGGAUUUCGGGUUCCCCAUUGGGUAUGGGGAUUUUUGCCAUCCCUAAUGAUCAAUCAGAAACGUAAAUGGUCCUAUUUAUAUUUAUUUUUAAAACAAUUUUGAAAGGGAGGGACUAAAGUUGUUCAAGUUGGAUAGACAAGGGUUUAAUUUAAUUAAAAUUGAAUGAAGUUUGUUAUUUAGGUGUUUAAACAGGAGGUUCCUGAGUUUGGUUCUCAUGCCCGACGUAAUACAAAAACGAACGAAGCUGUCGAAGCAGGUCCCCGGCUUUAGUAGUUGCAAUCGAAGGAACAUUAAACAAACAACAAAAUAUAACGGAGGGGGUGGUGAUGACUUACAGCAGGUGGAGGCGGUGGUUUGAGGCUGUAAUAGUGAUGGCGACGGAGGUGGAAGGAAGCUACUCCGGUGGUCUUCUGCCGCCGGUUUCUUGCUUAAAACGGUGGGGUUCGAUGCAGGGGAGGUGGAGAGACUCUUGGGGAUCGAUUUCAGCAGCAACCCAAGGUGGAGGUGGGUUUUUCCGGGUGAUGGCAUUGGGUGGCCGAGUGGUGGCAGUGGUUGGUUUGCCUCCUGUUUUGAGCUGGAACUGAUAGAGGGAGAGAGGGAGAUUUAAGAGAGAAAUGGAGUUGUGUG